GAUAAACGCUGGCGGCGCACAUAAGACAUGCAAGUCGAACGGACUUAACUCAUUCUUUUAGAUUGAGAGCGGUUAGUGGCGGACUGGUGAGUAACACGUAAGCAACCUGCCUAUUAGAGGGGAAUAACAGUGAGAAAUCAUUGCUAAUACCGCAUAUGCUCACAGUACCACAUGGUACAGUGAGGAAAGGAGAAAUCCGCUAAUAGAUGGGCUUGCGUCUGAUUAGCUAGUUGGUGGGGUAAAGGCCUACCAAGGCGACGAUCAGUAGCCGGACUGAGAGGUUGAACGGCCACAUUGGGACUGAGAUACGGCCCAGACUCCUACGGGAGGCAGCAGUGGGGAAUAUUGGGCAAUGGGGGAAACCCUGACCCAGCAACGCCGCGUGAGGGAAGAAGGCCUUCGGGUUGUAAACUUCUUUUACCAGGGACGAAGAACGUGACGGUACCUGGAGAAAAAGCAACGGCUAACUACGUG
This 474-nucleotide ribosomal RNA is filed under the name uncultured bacterium. RNAcentral's name for it is "bacterial SSU rRNA". It matches the Rfam family "Bacterial small subunit ribosomal RNA", at positions 28 to 507 of the family's 1533-position model. The record is from RNAcentral.